RNAcentral lists this ribosomal RNA (464 nucleotides) under uncultured bacterium. RNAcentral's name for it is "partial 16S ribosomal RNA". It matches the Rfam family "Bacterial small subunit ribosomal RNA", at positions 32 to 507 of the family's 1533-position model. The record is from RNAcentral.
AACGCUGGCGGCGUGCUUAACACAUGCAAGUCGAACGGAAAGGCCCUGCUUUUGUGGGGUGCUCGAGUGGCGAACGGGUGAGUAACACGUGAGUAACCUGCCCUUGACUUUGGGAUAACUUCAGGAAACUGGGGCUAAUACCGGAUAGGAGCUCCUGCUGCAUGGUGGGGGUUGGAAAGUUUCGGCGGUUGGGGAUGGACUCGCGGCUUAUCAGCUUGUUGGUGGGGUAGUGGCUUACCAAGGCGUUGACGGGUAGCCGGCCUGAGAGGGUGACCGGCCACAUUGGGACUGAGAUACGGCCCAGACUCCUACGGGAGGCAGCAGUGGGGAAUAUUGCACAAUGGGCGGAAGCCUGAUGCAGCAACGCCGCGUGCGGGAUGACGGCCUUCGGGUUGUAAACCGCUUUCGCCUGUGACGAAGCGUGAGUGACGGUAAUGGGUAAAGAAGCACCGGCUAACUACGUG